GGGGAGAAACCACUGGGAUGGAUCAACUGAGGGAUGAACUGGGAGGGAUCCACCGGGGAUCCUCUCGGGGAUUUGUUGGGGAUCCCUUGGGGGGAUCCACUGAGGGAUCCACUGAGGGAUCCACAGAGGGAUCCGUGCCCUCCCCUCCCCCAGGGCCACGGGGUGCUGGAGAUGCCAUCGGGGACGGGCAAGACGGUGUCGCUGCUGUCGCUGAUCAUCGCCUACCAGCGGGCUCACCCCCUGGACGUGUCCAAGCUGAUUUACUGCUCCCGCACCGUGCCCGAGAUCGAGAAGGUCAGCGGGGGGUGGGGGAGGGAUCCCUGGGGUGGAUUCUCAGGGUGGAUCCCUUGGAUGGAUCCCACAGGGUGGAUUCUCGGGGUGGAUCCCUUGGAUGGAUCCCUCGGGGUGGAUUCUCGGGGUGGAUCCCUGUGUUGGUUCCUCAGGGUGGGUCCCCCUGCGUGGAUCCCUGGGGUGGAUCCCUUGCAGUGGAUUCCUGGGCUGGAUCCCUCAGGGUUGAUCCCUGGGGUGGAUUCCUGCGUGUGUCUUGUUAUGG
RNAcentral lists this long non-coding RNA (553 nucleotides) under Junco hyemalis (dark-eyed junco). RNAcentral's name for it is "lncRNA (ENSJHYG00000016004.1)". The record is from RNAcentral. Lineage: Eukaryota; Metazoa; Chordata; Aves; Passeriformes; Passerellidae.